AUCUUCAGGGCAGGGUGUGAUUCCCUACCGGCGGUAUAGUCCGCGAGCCUUUUUUGAGAGGGCACGAACCGGUGUGAUUCCGGUACCGACAGUAUAGUCUGGAUGAGAGAAGAU
This 114-nucleotide non-coding RNA is filed under the name human gut metagenome. RNAcentral describes it as "FMN riboswitch (RFN element)". It matches the Rfam family "FMN riboswitch aptamer (RFN element)". From Rfam's summary of the family: The RFN element is a highly conserved domain that is found frequently in the 5'-untranslated regions of prokaryotic mRNAs that encode for flavin mononucleotide (FMN) biosynthesis and transport proteins. This element is a metabolite-dependent riboswitch that directly binds FMN in the absence of proteins. The record is from RNAcentral.